UAGGCACGUGCACGCUUUCUUUCUGGACUUUGGUCGUAUGGGCGCGGAGGGUCAACCUCUGCGUCUUCAUAUGCCCCUCUUCGUGUAGAAAGUCUUUGAAUGUUUUUACUAUCAUCGAGUCGCGACUUCUAGGAGAUGCGAUUCUUUGAGACAAAAGUUAUUACAACUUUCAGCAAUGGAUCUCUUGGCUCUCGCAUCGAUGAAGAACGCAGCGAAUAGCGAUAUGUAAUGUGAAUUGCAGAUCUACAGUGAAUCAUCGAAUCUUUGAACGCACCUUGCGCUCCUCGGUGUUCCGAGGAGCAUGCCUGUUUGAGCGUCAGUAAAUUCUCAACUCCUCUCGAUUGACUUCGAGUGGAGCUUGGAUAGUGGGGGCUGCCGGAGACCUGAAUAUUCGUGUUCGGGACUCGGGCUCCUCUGAAAUGUAUUGGCUUGCGGUCUGUUUUCGACUUUGCAUGACAAGGCUUUUGGCGUGAUAAUGAUCGCCGCUCGCCGAAGUGCAUGAAUGAAACCGUGCCGUGCCUCUAAUCCGUCGAUGCCUCUAU
This 542-nucleotide ribosomal RNA is filed under the name fungal sp. JH 214. RNAcentral's name for it is "eukaryotic LSU rRNA". The stretch from base 165 to 319 matches the Rfam family "5.8S ribosomal RNA". Lineage: Eukaryota; Fungi. The record is from RNAcentral.